UUCCAGACUCCUACGGGAGGCAGCAGUGGGGAAUAUUGCACAAUGGGGGAAACCCUGAUGCAGCGACGCCGCGUGAGUGAAGAAGUAAUUCGUUAUGUAAAGCUCUAUCAGCAGGGAAGAAAAUGACGGUACCUGAGUAAGAAGCCCCGGCUAACUACGUGCCAGCAGCCGCGGUAAUACGUAGGGGGCAAGCGUUAUCCGGAUUUACUGGGUGUAAAGGGAGCGUAGACGGCCAUUCAAGCCAGAUGUGAAAGCCCGGGGCUCAACUCCGGGACUGCAUUUGGAACUGUGGGGCUAGAGUGUCGGAGAGGCAGGCGGAAUUCCUAGUGUAGCGGUGAAAUGCGUAGAUAUUAGGAGGAACACCAGUGGCGAAGGCGGCCUGCUGGACGAUGACUGACGUUGAGGCUCGAAAGCGUGGGGAGCAAACAGGAUUAGAUACCCGUGUAAU
Molecule: ribosomal RNA, 448 nt
Filed under: uncultured bacterium
Lineage: Bacteria
Description: bacterial SSU rRNA
Rfam family: Bacterial small subunit ribosomal RNA
Source: RNAcentral